CCGAGGCAUUCAAGCAUGACAUUUGAAAUAGAGGGUGCAUUGACUUGUAUGAGCCCUGUAGUAUGUUAGUCUCCUGCAAUGUAAAGGUGUAAAGUUAAAUUUAGAAGUUGCUGGUACAACCCAUGGUUUUUCACAGCUGUGUUUUCACUCUCGCUCCUUUGUGGAAGAAUGUGAGAUUUAGAAGAUGCACUAUUUAUCUAGAGUUCUUCUGCAUUUUUGAGAGGAGAAUUUUACCAAACAUUUUUACAAAUGUCUCCCUCCUCUCGUAUGAUACCAUAGCACUGCUUAAAGCACUCUUCCACGGCACCCCAGGAUAUGUCUCAGCCCUGAAGCUAUUCCCGGUUGCAUGCUGAUAAAGAACAAAUGCUGCCUAACAGCAGCAGAGGACGCUCAGCAUUUCCUUGUUUCCUGGUGGCAAAAAUAUCUGCAAGUACUCACCAUCUCUGCAAAUUAUCCUGUACUUGAUGACAGAUGGUCACGAGGGUGUCUGUGGCUGAAUAUCUCUAGAGAGUCUUUGGACAAGCUGAAACUCCCAGGACCAGCUGAAUCCUCAAGGUGGCAGCCAAAGUUGGGCAGAGAGAUGGAAUUGCACAUCUGCCAGAAGCAGGAAGGAAGAGAAGAUCUGCAACCACUGCAAUGUGGACUUAGACACCUAUACACCUCCUCCAGUGGCUCUCUGUUCAGUGUCUUCUGCUGCAUCCCAAAAACCGGACUGCAGCUUCUCUACGUGUCUGGAAACAAUAGCUGUGGGACAGAUGGACAGACAGCCAGAUGCAACGGGGGGAAGUGUGGAAGUGCAGAAAGAAGUGGGG
This 812-nucleotide long non-coding RNA is filed under the name Cyanistes caeruleus (blue tit). RNAcentral describes it as "lncRNA (ENSCCEG00000011953.1)". The record is from RNAcentral. Lineage: Eukaryota; Metazoa; Chordata; Aves; Passeriformes; Paridae.